GUGUUCCUCAUGAUCAAGUGCCACUGCAUCACCAUCUUCACAGAUGCCAGGGUGUCUAGCAUGGUGUUUGAGUUGAAGUGCAUCGUCGAGGGCAUCCUCAGCAGCUGUACAGGGAUGACCAGCUCUUGGAUGUUGGCAAGACGCUGGGAGAGUGUAGCUUCACCAGCCAAAGUGCAUGGCCACAGCCCCGGCCACAGCGGUGCUGGGCUUCCAGGCGGACGACGGCCUUGAGGCCCUGCACAUCCCAUGGUUAGGAAGCCCCAGGACACAGGAAGCAGUGCUCACGAGCAAGCCGU
RNAcentral lists this long non-coding RNA (296 nucleotides) under Homo sapiens (human). Its description in RNAcentral is "non-protein coding lnc-CUL2-6:1". The record is from RNAcentral. Lineage: Eukaryota; Metazoa; Chordata; Mammalia; Primates; Hominidae.